This 113-nucleotide ribosomal RNA is filed under the name Microcebus murinus (gray mouse lemur). The record is from RNAcentral. Lineage: Eukaryota; Metazoa; Chordata; Mammalia; Primates; Cheirogaleidae.
GUCUACGGCCAUAUCACCCUGAACGUGCCCGAUCUUGACUGAUCUCGGAAGCUAAGCAGGGUUGGGCCUGGUUGGUACUUGGAUGGGAGAAAAUAAAAUCUGUUUUGUGCACC